Molecule: ribosomal RNA, 253 nt
Filed under: uncultured bacterium
Lineage: Bacteria
Description: partial 16S ribosomal RNA
Rfam family: Bacterial small subunit ribosomal RNA
Source: RNAcentral
AACGUAGGAGACAAACGUUAUCCGGAGUUACUGGGCGUAAAGGGCGUGUAGGUGGUUUCGUAAGUCUGGCGUGAAAUUUUUCGGCUUAACCGGGAAAGGUCGUCGGAUACUGCGGAACUAGAGGACGGUAGAGGCGUGUGGAAUUCCGGGUGUAGUGGUGAAAUGCGUAGAGAUCCGGAGGAACACCAGUGGCGAAGGCGACACGCUGGGCCGUACCUGACACUGAGGCGCGAUAGCAUGGGGAGCAAACAGG